Molecule: ribosomal RNA, 368 nt
Filed under: Malassezia sympodialis
Lineage: Eukaryota; Fungi; Basidiomycota; Malasseziomycetes; Malasseziales; Malasseziaceae
Description: eukaryotic LSU rRNA
Rfam family: 5.8S ribosomal RNA (bases 1-101)
Source: RNAcentral
CGCGAUAGGUAAUGUGAAUUGCAGAAUUCCGUGAAUCAUCGAAUCUUUGAACGCACCUUGCGCUCCAUGGUAUUCCGUGGAGCAUGCCUGUUUGAGUGCCGCGAAUUCUCCCUCCCCUUACGGUGGCCGAAAGGCCGAAGUAGGGCGGACGGGGUAGGAUGGGUGUUGCUGCCUGGGGAUUGUACCAGGCUCGCCCGAAAUGCAUAAGCGCCAGGACCCUCGCUACCGCUCUCUAGGGAAGAGUGGCUAAGCGACCGCUGAGCAUGGCAUGAUACGUCAUUUGCUGUGUGUGGGCGGCCGGUUGGAGAGGUGUCUGCUUUACCAGCCCUUUUUUAAUUCUGGUCUCAAAUCAGGUAGGAUCACCCGCU